UGGAAUGAGUAACCUCAUCUCCCACAGAGAACAUCAGGAGUUACAGAUACUGAUGUCCUCACUCAAUGGCAUCACUACCCAGAGGGAUCAAGCUGUAACUGAUGCAGCUGUGUUACUGACUGGGCUGGUAAGUGGAAGCACUCUUAGGGGGUGCCAUUAGAUGAAGUCACUGUAAUGUACCAUUAGUAAGCCUGCAAAAAUGAGUACCCUCUUCUAAUCUGAAAAGUGUUGUGGUUGAGAAUACACCCAUUGGAUGUCCUCAAGGGAAGAUUUCUUUCCCACAUACUGACUCUAUCAGUGUUACCAGCCGGCAUUUCACUAGCAUGAGACAGCUUUGUAACAUUUCACAGACCCCUACAUCAUGCUGAGUAGUGCUGGAUCAUCUAUUAUUAAUACGCUUACAUUUUUUCUAGACUAGAAGUAUCUUAUUUUCUUGUUAAAUCUUCCAUUACUUUAAGAUGGUUUCAAGGUCUGUUCUGCUCUCAUUUUAUUAGUUGGGAACAAAAGCUUUUCAAAUAUCAGAAGUUAAUAUAUGCUGAUUUCUGGAUAAGCAAGAAACUACAUCAGAUUUUGAGGCUAUUUUAUUAUAUAAUGAUAUCUUUAGGUUUCAUACACUGUUUUUAUAAAAUAGUUUCCUUUUCCUUAUUUGAGUGCAUAUCCAUAUAGAGUAACAGUUUUGCAUUAGAAAUGCUGGCUGCAUGGCAAUGUGAGACUCUUGCCUAUAAUUAUAACCAGUUAUUAUUAUAUGGUGUGCAUAAAGAAUUCAAAGAACUUCAAAGUUACAGAAUUAAAAUUGUGUUUGGUUACACAGGUUGAUGGAGACAGUCACAUGUUCAUUCUGCUUUGAGAUGGCCUGAGGCAAGGCAGUGUGCAUCUGGGAACUGUGAAGUUAGUUAGCAUGGUGUGAUGCCUUGGUUAACGAGCCUGUGGAGAAUACCAUAGCUCAGACACAGUACAGUGCUAAUGCAUCCACAAGGCUUCUGGAAGAAGCUGGCCUGUAUCUGGAUGAGCUGGAACAUAGGCAAAGCAGUCAGACUAACUCUGGAAAAUAUAUGCAGGCCAACUAGUAUAAAAACAGGAAAGUUAUCAAGGUGUGAGGGUGCACAUUCUUUGAAAUGCUCAGGUUAUUAUGAAGAAAGGCACUGGGAGAGCAGACUGGGUCUACCAGUUACUGCUUUGUUGGAUUCCAGCUUAUUGCUUUGAUCAAAACCUGAUUUGUUCAUCCCAGUCAGCUUUCUGUCUUGGGUUGGUAUUUCUUGGACAGCGGAAUGGAAUAGACCACCUUAAUCCAUAAUGCUGUUGUAACAUGGUUUGGGUAUUAGGUGAAAGGUAAGCAUGAAAAGGAGUAUCAUGACAGAGAAGUGCACCAGCCGAAUGUCAGGAGUGCCACACUGACAUCCUGCUGCUAAUGGCCAGGUUAGCCUGGGAUGGUUUUACCUUUGUCCCCUGUGUAAGUUUGGCCUGGCUCUCUCGCCGAGUCCAAGCUGUCUCCUCCCCCCUCCCAUUCUCUCAAGAGAGGAAAAAAAAAUGAACCACAGAAAAACAAAUUAAAUACUUCCCUGAACGAGACAGCAGAACCGCGUGAAGCACCAACCAACUCCCCACGCCUCCUGAAGGGAACCGGAGAUAACGGCAGGUCGGAGCAGGCAGGCCCUGGCCUAUACAAGCAAAGACCGUCUGCAGAGAGACCUGUCACCUUCAGCCACCGGAAGAGAGCGAGCUCUCUUAUCUCCGCCUUAUUUAUAUGUUGCAUUACGUUAAAGGAUGAUAUGGAAUACUUCCUUAGAUUUCUGACCCCGUUGCUAGGGAAGGCCUAAAAAAUCCAAAAGCCAAUGCACUACAUCCUCCCAUGGCUGAAGCCUCUGUAAAUCCAUUAACAUAAGUGGAGUUAUGGUCAUUUAUACUUCCUGAAUAUCAGUUUUAAAAGAUAACAGCUGAGUACUUGAUGAAGAAAGGAAGAGCUGUGAGCCAAACCUGUAACUCAGGGCUGGAACCAGCACAUUCCACAGCAUCAUGCUGGAAUAUUGGUAGAAGAUUAAUGAAGUAUAAUGGAGCCAAGCAUAGAAUCAGAUCCCUACAAAAGCAGAAGNGAGAGAGAAUUCCCUUUUCUUCAGUGCCACAUGGGUUUCGUGAAUGAGUUGGGGCUGUGAAGGCAGUCACUGUGCUGCUUGGGGAUGCAGCUCUAACAGUUUCUUUUCCACCGCUCCCGACUCUUUAUUACUUAUACACACAAACUGAAGAUGC
Molecule: long non-coding RNA, 2244 nt
Organism: Lepidothrix coronata (blue-crowned manakin)
Lineage: Eukaryota; Metazoa; Chordata; Aves; Passeriformes; Pipridae
Exons: 4
Source: RefSeq, a predicted model, not a curated record